AAAUUACUCCCUCCGCCCAAUAAAAAAUGUUUCAAAUUUGUCAAAAUUUGAAUGUAUCUAAACAUGACUUAGCGUAUAAAUGCAUUCAAAUUUAGUCAAAGUUGAGACACCUUUUGUUGGACGGAGGGAGUGCUAA
This is a non-coding RNA of Brachypodium distachyon (stiff brome), 136 nucleotides long. The record is from Rfam. NCBI's taxonomy places the organism in Eukaryota, Viridiplantae, Streptophyta, Magnoliopsida, Poales, Poaceae.